UCCCUGGUGGUCCAGUGGCUAAGACUCUGUGCUCCCAAUGCAGGGGGCCUGGGUUCAAUCCCUGGUCAAGGAA
RNAcentral lists this transfer RNA (73 nucleotides) under Tursiops truncatus (common bottlenose dolphin). It matches the Rfam family "tRNA". From Rfam's summary of the family: Transfer RNA (tRNA) molecules are approximately 80 nucleotides in length. Their secondary structure includes four short double-helical elements and three loops (D, anti-codon, and T loops). Lineage: Eukaryota; Metazoa; Chordata; Mammalia; Artiodactyla; Delphinidae. RNAcentral also lists the same sequence under 10 other names. The record is from Rfam by way of RNAcentral.